AAUGAACGUUGGCGGCGUGGAUUAGGCAUGCAAGUCGAGCGUGAUAGGUUUGGUGCUUGCAUUAAACCUUGAAAGCGGCGAAAGGGACAGUAACGCGUAGAUACCUACCUCCAGGUCCGGGAUAGCGGCGGGAAACUGCCGGUAAUACCGGAUAAUGUCUUCGGACCAAAGGUGUGAUUCCGCCGGGAGACGGAUCUGCGUCCUAUUAGCUAGUUGGUGGGGUAAUGGCCCACCAAGGCGAUGAUGGGUAGCGGGCGUGAGAGCGUGGCCCGCGUCACUGGGACUGAGACACUGCCCAGACACCUACGGGUGGCUGCAGUCGAGAAUCUUCGGCAAUGGGCGCAAGCCUGACCGAGCGACGCCGCGUGCGGGAUGAAGGCCUUCGGGUUGUAAACCGCUGUCGGAGAGGCGGAAAUCUCUAGGGGUUCUCCCCUAGAGUUGACCUAAUCUCGGAGGAAGUCCGGGCUAAGUUCGUGCCAGCAGCCGCAGUAA
RNAcentral lists this ribosomal RNA (492 nucleotides) under uncultured bacterium. Its description in RNAcentral is "partial 16S ribosomal RNA". It matches the Rfam family "Bacterial small subunit ribosomal RNA", at positions 28 to 523 of the family's 1533-position model. The record is from RNAcentral.